GCCAAAUUAUAAUGAGAUAUGCAAAUGAAAAAUUCAAUCAAGAUGAGCGAAGCCCGUAACUUGUUCACCACCUUUGGCAUCCUGGCCAUCCUGCUUUUCUUCCUUUACCUCAUCUAUGCCGUAUUGUAAAAUGUUUCCGGCAAGUAGAAGGUCCUUAGGGCAGGACAGAAGCCAGCAGCCAAAUCAAAGCAAUCAAAAUGAAUGAGGCCAAAAGUUUGUUCACCACCUUCCUCAUCCUGGCCUUCCUGCUGUUCCUGCUCUACGCCUUCUACGAAGCCGCCUUCUAGGCCCAACUCCCCAAUCACCCAUGAUCACCAGUACCACCACCCAUCAAGGAUAGCUUACAUGUUGAAUUUCAAUUCCAAGCCGCCGGCCAUGCCAUCAUCUUGUGGCCCGGUGGAGCUUCUAGGACCCUACGCGUUUAAGAUGUUUAGCAUUUAAUGGAUUUCUACUAGUAACCUAAGCC
This 466-nucleotide small RNA is filed under the name Drosophila yakuba. Its description in RNAcentral is "GE27647". Lineage: Eukaryota; Metazoa; Arthropoda; Insecta; Diptera; Drosophilidae. The record is from RNAcentral.